GAUGAACGCUGGCGGCGUGCUUAACACAUGCAAGUCGAACGAAGCACUUUAUUUGAUUUCCUUCGGGACUGAUUAUUUUGUGACUGAGUGGCGGACGGGUGAGUAACGCGUGGGUAACCUGCCUUGUACAGGGGAUAACAGUUGGAAACGACUGCUAAUACCGCAUAAGCGCACAGGAUUGCAUGAUCCAGUGUGAAAAACUCCGGUGGUAUAAGAUGGACCCGCGUCUGAUUAGCUAGUUGUGGGGUAACGGCCUACCAAGGCGACGAUCAGUAGCCGACCUGAGAGGGUGACCGGCACAUUGGGACUGAGACACGGCCAAACUCCUACGGGAGGCAGCAUGGGGAAGUAUUGCACAAUAGGGGAAA
This 368-nucleotide ribosomal RNA is filed under the name uncultured bacterium. RNAcentral describes it as "bacterial SSU rRNA". It matches the Rfam family "Bacterial small subunit ribosomal RNA", at positions 28 to 380 of the family's 1533-position model. The record is from RNAcentral.